AGUGGCGGACGGGUGAGUAACACGUGAACAACCUACCCUAAUGACCGGGAUAACACCGGGAAACUGGUGCUAAUACCGGAUACGCUCUGAAGGUGGCAUUACCUUCAGAGGAAAGUCGGCCUCUAUUUAUAAGCUGGCACGUUAGGAUGGGUUCGCGCCCCAUUAGCUUGUUGGUAGGGUAACGGCCUACCAAGGCUUCGAUGGGUAGCCGGCCUGAGAGGGUGGCCGGCCACACUGGGACUGAGAUACGGCCCAGACUCCUACGGGAGGCAGCAGUGGGGAAUCUUCCGCAAUGGGCGCAAGCCUGACGGAGCGACGCCGCGUGGGGGACGAAGGCCUUCGGGUUGUAAACCUCUUUUCUGAAGGGAGAACGUUCUAUCUGUAAAUAGCGGAUAGAGUUGACGGUACUUCAGGAAUAAGCCCCGGCUAACUACGUGCCAGCAGCCGCGGUAAUACGUAGGGGGCGAGCGUUGUCCGGAAUCACUGGGCGUAAAGGGCGUGUAGGCGGCUAGAGUAGUCGCAGGUGAAAUCCCACGGCUCAACCGUGGAACUGCCUGCGAAACCAUUUAGCUUGAGGACAGGAGAGGAAAGCGGAAUUCCUGGUGUAGCGGUGAAAUGCGUAGAUAUCAGGAGGAACACCAGUGGCGAAGGCGGCUUUCUGGCCUGGUCCUGACG
This 675-nucleotide ribosomal RNA is filed under the name uncultured bacterium. RNAcentral's name for it is "bacterial SSU rRNA". It matches the Rfam family "Bacterial small subunit ribosomal RNA", at positions 94 to 745 of the family's 1533-position model. The record is from RNAcentral.